UCUUCCUCCACAGAAUGAUCACAGGACAGCACACUUAUUCAUUUUCUAAGAAGCAAAAUCUUGACAGUUAGCUCUGUGAGUUAAGAACCUAGAGAAAAAUAAAAUGAACACCACACAUCUGAUUUAAUCAUUCUCUAAAGAGUGAACACAGGACAGCUGAUUUAAUCACUUAAUAAAGAAUUGUUAUCAUAAGCAAGGAGCAUAAAGUCUAAUAUAAAAUGAACAACUCUACCAUAUUUGAUUAUUAGCCCAUGGCAAAGAUCUUGAGUUUUACCUCUUUGGAUAAAGAGAGAAGAGAUCUAUUCAUUGUCCAAUGAUGAAGAUCUUAGCUGUUACUUCUGUAGGUAAGGAGCAAUAAUGAAGACCAUGGCUGCUUUAAUCAGUCUGUUUUGAGGAAGAUCUUGACUGUUACCUUUGUGGAAUGGUUGCGCAAUGAUUCAAUUAAGGACUAUAGAAACUUAUCAUGGAUGCGUUGGAGCUGAUUUGAGGAUUCAUCUAAGGUCACAAGAUGUCUGGUUGUCUCUGUGUUUGGCACAUAGAAACAAAUAAUGGACACGCUUUAGCUGAUUUAAACAUAUGUCUUGGUCAACAAUCUCUGAAUUUGCCUGUACAUGGAAACCAACA
Balaenoptera musculus (blue whale) is the source of this 624-nucleotide long non-coding RNA. RefSeq lists it as uncharacterized. The record is from RefSeq and is a predicted model, not a curated record. NCBI's taxonomy places the organism in Eukaryota, Metazoa, Chordata, Mammalia, Artiodactyla, Balaenopteridae. The transcript has 9 exons.